Molecule: ribosomal RNA, 427 nt
Filed under: uncultured bacterium
Lineage: Bacteria
Description: partial 16S ribosomal RNA
Rfam family: Bacterial small subunit ribosomal RNA
Source: RNAcentral
UAGGGAAUUUUCGGCAAUGGACGAAAGUCUGACCGAGCAACGCCGCGUGAGUGAAGAAGGUUUUCGGAUCGUAAAACUCUGUUGGUAGAGAAGAACGUUGGUGAGAGUGGAAAGCUCAUCAAGUGACGGUAACUACCCAGAAAGGGACGGCUAACUACGUGCCAGCAGCCGCGGUAAUACGUAGGUCCCGAGCGUUGUCCGGAUUUAUUGGGCGUAAAGCGAGCGCAGGUGGUUUAUUAAGUCUGGUGUAAAAGGCAGUGGCUCAACCAUUGUAUGCAUUGGAAACUUGUAGACUUGAGUGCAGGAGAGGAGAGUGGAAUUCCAUGUGUAGCGGUGAAAUGCGUAGAUAUAUGGAGGAACACCGGUGGCGAAAGCGGCUCUCUGGCCUGUAACUGACACUGAGGCUCGAAAGCGUGGGGAGCAAACA